CUCCUCUCAAGAUCAUACCUGCAGUGUUUCCAGUACUCUACCAGUCUCAGUUAAGGGAGGGAGAGUCAAGCAGAGGCCUACCCAUUCCAUUCCUAGCUUGCACAGUGGCUAGCGAGUGGCAGGCAAUCUGCUACAAGU
RNAcentral lists this small nucleolar RNA (138 nucleotides) under Ornithorhynchus anatinus (platypus). The record is from RNAcentral. Lineage: Eukaryota; Metazoa; Chordata; Mammalia; Monotremata; Ornithorhynchidae.